UCAGUUCAGUGAGCCUCUCAGACACUUUCUGAUCUUCAUCUCAGACUCUUUCAGACUCUUUCAUUCACACAAACUCAAGAACAACUCAAAGGAUGAGAACGGAGGUUUUCCUCGUGCUCCUCAUGACUCUGGUGUUCACUGAUGGACUGAAUAAUGUCACGUUCAGCCGAGAGAAACGGGCUCUUUUCUCUAACACGGCAUAUCCUUGCCAGAGAUCUCAGAAUAACAAUGCAUAUUAUACUUUUAAUCGCCGACAUAUUCUCUCAGAGGAUUUUGACACAAACAGUGGAUUGGCUUGGGCAGAUUAUCUCACUAGACAGGGUCUUUGUGGCAGAACACGUCUUCAGUCCUUCCUCCCUGGACGCUACAGCAAUAGCAUUAAGAGAAUCUGCAACGGACAAGGCGUCAGAGACACGGGAAACUUGUGCAUCAGUAGGAGGACAUUCACAGUGUACAUUGUUGAAAGCUUUUUGAGAAAUGGACGAUGUGAAGUUACACCUAAUAACAACAGAUAUUAUGUUGUUGUUGCUUGUGAGGCCAUUGAUAAUGAAUGUGUGCCUGUUCACUAUGAGAAACAAACUAGGUACCGACCGUCCAGUUACGGUCAGAUCUGCAGACCAUAAGCAGAGGAUGUACUAAGAAUACAUGUUUAACCAUUUAUUAAAACGUUGCUAUGCCACAUGCAUGUUUAGACUGGAUAUAAUUCCAGAAGCUUCUCAAUAAAAGCUUUCUUAGCAGAGCACAGUUUGGUUUUAUAAAACAAACUGAUCAAAUGUGUAACUCAAAUGCUAUGUAAGUUGCUUUAAAUAAAAGCAUCUGCCAAAGCCAUUAA
This is a long non-coding RNA of Carassius carassius (crucian carp), 832 nucleotides long. RefSeq lists it as uncharacterized. The transcript has 2 exons. The record is from RefSeq and is a predicted model, not a curated record. Lineage: Eukaryota; Metazoa; Chordata; Actinopteri; Cypriniformes; Cyprinidae.